RNAcentral lists this ribosomal RNA (301 nucleotides) under uncultured bacterium. RNAcentral's name for it is "partial 16S ribosomal RNA". It matches the Rfam family "Bacterial small subunit ribosomal RNA", at positions 509 to 807 of the family's 1533-position model. The record is from RNAcentral.
CAGCAGCCGCGGUAAUACGAAGGGUGCAAGCGUUACUCGGAAUUACUGGGCGUAAAGCGUGCGUAGGCGGUUCGUUAAGUCUGUUGUGAAAGCCCCGGGCUCAACCUGGGAAUGGCAAUGGAUACUGGCGAGCUAGAGUGUGUCAGAGGAUGGUGGAAUUCCCGGUGUAGCGGUGAAAUGCGUAGAGAUCGGGAGGAACAUCAGUGGCGAAGGCGGCCAUCUGGGACAACACUGACGCUGAGGCACGAAAGCGUGGGGAGCAAACAGGAUUAGAUACCCCCGUAGUCCCUGUCUCUUAUAC